Molecule: non-coding RNA, 73 nt
Organism: Ovis aries (sheep)
Lineage: Eukaryota; Metazoa; Chordata; Mammalia; Artiodactyla; Bovidae
Source: Rfam
UCCCUGGUAGUCCAGUGGUUAGGACUCGGCACUAUCACUGCUAGGACCCUGGGUUGGAUCCCUGGUUGGGGAA